AUACAAGCUAGAUAAGGGCGUAUGGGGGAUGCCUAGGCUCUCAGAGGCGAAGAAGGACGUGAUAAGCUGCGAAAAGUCGUGGGGAUUGGCACAUACAAAUUGAUCCGCGAAUAUCCGAAUGGGGCAACCCAGCAUGUUGAAGACAUGUUACCAUGCUUGCAUGGGGCGAACCCGGGGAACUGAAACAUCUAAGUACCCGGAGGAAGAGAAAACAAUAGUGAUUGCGCUAGUAGCGGCGAGCGAACGCGCAAGAGCCCAAACCAAUGAGUUUACGGACUUAUUGGGGUUGUAGGACUGCAAUAUAGGUUAUACAAUGAACUAGAAUUAGCUGGAAAGCUAAGCCAUAGACGGUGACAGCCCGGUAUAGGCAAGUUGUUAUAAUCUUAGCAGGAUCCUGAGUAGUGCGGGGCACGUGAAACCCUGUAUGAAUCUGGCGGGACCAUCCGCCAAGGCUAAAUACUCCUGAGAGACCGAUAGUGAACCAGUACCGUGAGGGAAAGGUGAAAAGAACCCUGAACAAGGGAGUGAAAUAGAACCUGAAACCAUACGCUUACAAGCGGUCGGAGCCACCUUGUGUGGUGACGGCGUGCCUUUUGCAUAAUGAGCCUACGAGUUACCGUUUCCAGCAAGGUUAAGCACUUAAGGUGUGGAGCCGUAGCGAAAGCGAGUCUGAAUAGGGCGCCAUAGUUGGUAGUGGUAGACGCGAAACCGUGUGAUCUAUCCUUGGGCAGGUUGAAGCUGUGGUAACACAUAGUGGAGGACCGAACCCGUUGACGUUGAAAAGUCUUGGGAUGACCUGAGGAUAGGGGUGAAAGGCCAAUCAAACUCGGAAAUAGCUCGUACUCCCCGAAAUGCAUUUAGGUGCAGCGAUAUAGUUAGUUUUAUAGAGGUAGAGCUACUGAUUGGAUGCGGGGGCUUCACCGCCUACCAAUUCCUGACAAACUCCGAAUGCUAUAAAAUGAUGCAUAUCAGUGAGGGCAUGGGUGCUAAGGUCCAUGUCCGAGAGGGAAAGAACCCAGACCAUCAGCUAAGGUCCCCAAAUGUAUGUUAAGUUGAAUAAACGCGGUUGGACUGCCCAGACAGCUAGGAUGUUGGCUUGGAAGCAGCCAUUCAUUUAAAGAGUGCGUAACAGCUCACUAGUCGAGCGGUCCGGCAUGGAUAAUAAUCGGGCAUAAACAUACUACCGAAGCUAUGGAUUCUAACAUUAGUUAGAGUGGUAGGGGAGCAUUGUAACAGAGACGAAGGUGUACUGCGAGGUAUGCUGGAUUGGUUACAAAAGAAAAUGUAGGCAUAAGUAACGAUAAUGCAGGCGAGAAACCUGCACACCGAAAGACCAAGGUUUCCCCAGCUAUGCUAAUCAGCUGGGGGUUAGUCGGGACCUAAGGCGAACCCGAAGGGGGUAGUCGAUGGACAAGCAGUUAAUAUUCUGCUACUUGCCCCAUGUUAAAGCGGACGGAGGCGUAAAGUUGGUGCGUACUGACGGAAUAGUACGUUGAAGGGAGUGGUAACACCCCGAUAGUACACAAAAGCUACGGCCGGCGUGAUAAUCCAGCGGAGCGACUUCCAAGAAAAGCGAGUGGUGGCAACCCGUACCGUAAACCGACACAGGUAGUUGGGAUGAGAAUUCUAAGGUGCUCGAGAGAUUCAUGGCUAAGGAACUAGGCAAAAUUGGCCCGUAACUUCGGGAGAAGGGUCGCCCUCUGUAAUGGGGGGCCGCAGUGAAAAGAUCCAGGCGACUGUUUAUCAAAAACACAGGGCUCUGCUAAAUCGAAAGAUGACGUAUAGGGCCUGACACCUGCCCGGUGCUGGAAGGUUAAGGGGAGAAGUUAGCUUCGGCGAAGCUUUGAACUGAAGCCCCAGUAAACGGCGGCCGUAACUAUAACGGUCCUAAGGUAGCGAAAUUCCUUGUCGGGUAAGUUCCGACCUGCACGAAUGGUGCAACGAUCUGGAUACUGUCUCAGCCAUGAGCUCGGUGAAAUUGUAGUAUCGGUGAAGAUGCCGAUUACCCGCUACGGGACGAAAAGACCCCGUGCACCUUUACUAUAGCUUAGUAUUGACUUUGAACAAGUGAUGUGUAGGAUAGGUGGGAGACUUCGAAGCAGCUUCGCCAGGAGUUGUGGAGUCGUUGUUGAAAUACCACCCUUUACUUGUUUAGAGCCUAACUUC
RNAcentral lists this ribosomal RNA (2166 nucleotides) under Gramella jeungdoensis. RNAcentral describes it as "partial 23S ribosomal RNA". It matches the Rfam family "Bacterial large subunit ribosomal RNA", at positions 1 to 2229 of the family's 2925-position model. The record is from RNAcentral. Lineage: Bacteria; Pseudomonadati; Bacteroidota; Flavobacteriia; Flavobacteriales; Flavobacteriaceae.